AGAAUUGAAACAAGUCUUCUGAAAUUUUCAGCUCGGUUUGGAAUUUUAUGAAUAUUGCGUUGCUUACUGAAAGUAUAAUGAGAAAAUAUCCAAUUUGUUCUAGCACGUGAUAUGCGCAAAUACUCUAUUUUUAUUUCGGUAUGUUAAAACAUGUUCCGCAUUUCGCAGGAUUUAAAAUUUUUGUAAAGAAUUAAACUCUCAAGAAUUA
Molecule: long non-coding RNA, 208 nt
Filed under: Ananas comosus (pineapple)
Lineage: Eukaryota; Viridiplantae; Streptophyta; Magnoliopsida; Poales; Bromeliaceae
Description: long non-coding RNA (ACOM_LNC024268)
Source: RNAcentral